UAGAGCUGCCAGAGGACGAGGUGAGAGACCGCAGCAGGUGCUGAGCUCAGUGCAGGCAGGUAGCGAGCCCUCGUGCUCAUCCCCGUGCCUCCUAAGGGACCAGCUGGACGGUGGCCGGAAGUCUCUGCCGGCCCCAGGCUGUGGUCAGCGACUUGUGGGAAGAGGACACCGCUGGGCAAUCUAAUUUGAGGAGCUUCAAAACAAUCCUCUCCAACAGCUGAGCCAGCAGUAGCCAGAACAUUCUCUGCAGGCCCGGGCAGGGGACGAGCCUGUGCGAUCCGACCACGCGGCUCCAUGGGAGGCCCUGCCUGCCGCUCAGCGGUGCAGGAGCCGGAGAGGAAGGCUGGCUCUGGCCUACGUCCCUAAGAGAGAGGCCCUGUGGUGACCCGCUGAGGUCACGGCUCAACAGCGGGACACAGCAGCAGAAUCUUUGUAGAAAUGACUACUAUAGAAGCCCAAUGAGAGUGCCACUGCCUGGAUGAUGGAGGAUGGAGAGCCGGCUUGGGACCCUGUCUACCAAGCCCCCCACCCCUCGGCAGCCCCUGAAGCUCCUCACUAGAGCCCCCAGGGUCCCCAGAGCUCAGCGUGAAAACCUCUCCUAAGAAAUCCUCCUAGUGGGUGACCCGCGGCCUGCUUUGCAGCUGGACGCUUUUGACGCUGGUCUCCUCCUUCCUGGGUUGGGGGUGUGAACAAAGGAGGGUCCUCUAAAUCUGGUGGAAGGAUGGGAAUGGGGAGCUCUCUAAGAUUCUGGGGUUCAACCCCGGUCAAGGCUGUGUCCACAGGUGAGGCAAAGAAGCCCCAGCUGGGGUCUUCCAGGCAUCCAUCCCCCCCGUGACUCCAGUUUUGUGGAGGAUGGCGGGAUCUUCUGUGAGCAAGUGGUGAUCUAUUUCUGUUCCUGGGUUAAUAAUAAUAGUAGAAGUAGUAGUAAUAAUAAAAAUAAUAGCUAGCA
Molecule: long non-coding RNA, 949 nt
Organism: Lagenorhynchus albirostris (white-beaked dolphin)
Lineage: Eukaryota; Metazoa; Chordata; Mammalia; Artiodactyla; Delphinidae
Exons: 2
Source: RefSeq, a predicted model, not a curated record